This 858-nucleotide ribosomal RNA is filed under the name uncultured bacterium. RNAcentral describes it as "bacterial SSU rRNA". It matches the Rfam family "Bacterial small subunit ribosomal RNA", at positions 31 to 936 of the family's 1533-position model. The record is from RNAcentral.
GUACGCUGGCGGCACGCCUAACACAUGCAAGUCNAACGAAGUAGCAAUACUUAGUGGCAGACGGGUGAGUAACAUGUGGGUAUCUACCCUUUGGCCUGGAAUAACACGAGGAAACUUGUGCUAAUACCGGAUAAGUCUUUACGGAGAAAGCUUUAUGCACCAUUGGAUGAGCCUGCACUUGAUUAGUUUGUUGGUGGGGUAAUGGCCUACCAAGACUGUGAUCAAUAGCUGAUUUGAGAGGAUGAUCAGCCACAUUGGGACUGAGACACGGCCCAAACUCCUACGGGAGGCAGCAGUGGGGAAUCUUGCACAAUGGAGGAAACUCUGAUGCAGCGAUGCCGCGUGAGUGAAGAAGGCCCUUGGGUUGUAAAGCUCUUUCGUCGGGGAAGAAAAUGACUGUACCCGAAUAAGAAGGUCCGGCUAACUUCGUGCCAGCAGCCGCGGUAAUACGAAGGGACCUAGCGUAGUUCGGAAUUACUGGGCUUAAAGAGUUCGUAGGUGGUUGAAAAAGUUGGUGGUGAAAUCCCAGAGCUUAACUCUGGAACUGCCAUCAAAACUUUUCAGCUAGAGUAUGAUAGAGGAAAGCAGAAUUUCUAGUGUAGAGGUGAAAUUCGUAGAUAUUAGAAAGAAUACCAAUUGCGAAGGCAGCUUUCUGGAUCAUUACUGACACUGAGGAACGAAAGCAUGGGUAGCGAAGAGGAUUAGAUACCCUCGUAGUCCAUGCCGUAAACGAUGUGUGUUAGACGUUGGAAAUUUAUUUUCAGUGUCGCAGCGAAAGCGAUAAACACACCGCCUGGGGGAGUACGACCGCAAGGUUAAAACUCAAAUGAAUUGACGGGGACCCGCACAAGUAGUGGA